ACAUAAUAAAUAUGAUGUGUGAGGAAACUACAAGUGUGUGAGAUUGUAGGCAUAAUCAUCUCCAAGUCACAAAAUUAAUUACAACGUUAUCGGCGAUUACAGGUGACGGAGACACGCAUUGUUAGCGGCAACACAUCAUGUUUUGAAUGUCUUCAAGGGAUCUCCGUCGCUGAUUCUGCCAUUUCGUAUGAGUUAUUUGCCAAAAUGCGUGGCGAGAUGGAUUUCGCACUUCGGAGCAAGUUUGACAAGAAAAUGACAAA
This is a long non-coding RNA of Helicoverpa zea (corn earworm), 260 nucleotides long. RefSeq lists it as uncharacterized. Lineage: Eukaryota; Metazoa; Arthropoda; Insecta; Lepidoptera; Noctuidae. The record is from RefSeq and is a predicted model, not a curated record. The transcript has 2 exons.